AACUACCUCAUAAUGCAGCGGAUCCGCAUGGAUAUGUUGUUAAAGGUUUACCGCCUUGGGAUAGGCUUGCGUCUGAUUAGCUAGUUGGUGUGGUAACGGCACACCAAGGCUACGAUCAGUAACUGGUCUGAGAGGAUGAUCAGUCACACUGGAACUGAGACACGGUCCAGACUCCUACGGGAGGCAGCAGUGAGGAAUAUUGGGCAAUGCUCGAAAGAGUGACCCAGCAACGCCGCGUGGAGGAUGAAGGUAUUCUAUAUCGUAAACUCCUGUGAGAGCAGACGAAAGACAGAUUAUUAAUCUGGAUGGCUGUAUGCUCAGAGGAAGCCCCGGCUAACUACGUG
Molecule: ribosomal RNA, 344 nt
Filed under: uncultured bacterium
Lineage: Bacteria
Description: bacterial SSU rRNA
Rfam family: Bacterial small subunit ribosomal RNA
Source: RNAcentral